ACGUCACAGUAGGUCAGUGGGUCUGGCUGUUAACCGGAAGGUUGGUGGUUCGAGCCCACCCAGGGAUG
Non-coding RNA from Podarcis lilfordi (Lilford's wall lizard), 68 nucleotides. NCBI's taxonomy places the organism in Eukaryota, Metazoa, Chordata, Lepidosauria, Squamata, Lacertidae. The record is from the annotation of a GenBank genome assembly.